Molecule: transfer RNA, 75 nt
Filed under: Syntrophobacterales bacterium
Lineage: Bacteria; Pseudomonadati; Thermodesulfobacteriota; Syntrophobacteria; Syntrophobacterales
Description: tRNA-Lys
Rfam family: tRNA
About the family: Transfer RNA (tRNA) molecules are approximately 80 nucleotides in length. Their secondary structure includes four short double-helical elements and three loops (D, anti-codon, and T loops). Further hydrogen bonds mediate the characteristic L-shaped molecular structure. tRNAs have two regions of fundamental functional importance: the anti-codon, which is responsible for specific mRNA codon recognition, and the 3' end, to which the tRNAs corresponding amino acid is attached (by aminoacyl-tRNA synthetases). tRNAs cope with the degeneracy of the genetic code in two manners: having more than one tRNA (with a specific anti-codon) for a particular amino acid; and 'wobble' base-pairing, i.e. permitting non-standard base-pairing at the 3rd anti-codon position.
Source: RNAcentral
UGGGGGGUCGUCUAAUUGGCAGGACACAGGAUUCUUGAUCUUGUUAUGGGAGUUCGAAUCCUUAUCCCCCACCCA